Long non-coding RNA from Zingiber officinale, 403 nucleotides. RefSeq lists it as uncharacterized. NCBI's taxonomy places the organism in Eukaryota, Viridiplantae, Streptophyta, Magnoliopsida, Zingiberales, Zingiberaceae. The transcript has 2 exons. The record is from RefSeq and is a predicted model, not a curated record.
UUUUAGAUCCAAUAGUAUUGAAAUUCAGAAGCAAAAUCCUUUGGAGGAUUGAGUUGGCUUGUCUUGCAGUGGCAGUCAGUCCUUCACUAAGUUACAAAUGUUGCGUGUUGGAGCAGUUCACACAACAAAACCAGCGAAAGUAGCACCCGUGGAGGUCACUACAGGAGAACUGUGUAUUGCGGAUGUUUGAAGGUGUUGGGGAGAAAGGACAUCUCUGAAAAUGUUGGCUUACAUUGUGGGUAAUUGUGGUGAUGGAAACUUGCCUGAUGUUUUUUCACUGACGUUUUGUAACGUCAGUAUACAAUGUGUCGUUAACAAGUCGUUGGCAGUUAACUUGUUGAUAAAUGUCAAUGGUAGAACUAUUAAUUUCUCAAGUUAUUGAUGAGAAUAUUGCCUGAGUCAA